UAUGGCGACUGCGGCGGCGCAAUUCACUAGUGAUUGCUCAGAUUGAACGCUGGCGGCAUGCGUUACACAUGCAAGUCGAACGGCAGCACGGGAGCAAUCCUGGUGGCGAGUGGCGUACGGGUGAGUAAUAUAUCGGAACGUGCCCAGUAGUGCGGGAUAGCCCGGCGAAAGCCGGAUUAAUACCGCAUACGACCUACGGGCGAAAGCGGGUUAUCGCAAGACCUCGGCGCUAUUGGAGCGGCCGAUAUCACAUUAGCUGGUUGACGGNCCAAGAGCCCACCAGGGCUACGAUCUGUAGCUGGUCUCGAGAGGACGACCAGCCACACUGCGACUGAGACACGGCCCAGUCUCCUACG
Molecule: ribosomal RNA, 356 nt
Filed under: uncultured bacterium
Lineage: Bacteria
Description: bacterial SSU rRNA
Rfam family: Bacterial small subunit ribosomal RNA
Source: RNAcentral